This 445-nucleotide ribosomal RNA is filed under the name uncultured bacterium. Its description in RNAcentral is "bacterial SSU rRNA". It matches the Rfam family "Bacterial small subunit ribosomal RNA", at positions 958 to 1398 of the family's 1533-position model. The record is from RNAcentral.
AACGCGAAGAACCUUACCAGGUCUUGACAUCCAACUAACGAAGCAGAGAUGCAUCAGGUGCCCUUCGGGGAAAGUUGAGACAGGUGGUGCAUGGUUGUCGUCAGCUCGUGUCGUGAGAUGUUGGGUUAAGUCCCGCAACGAGCGCAACCCUUGAUCUUAGUUGCCAGCACAUCAUGGUGGGCACUCUAGGAUGACUGCCGGUGACAAACCGGAGGAAGGUGGGGAUGACGUCAAAUCAUCAUGCCCCUUAUGACCUGGGCUACACACGUACUACAAUGGCCGAUACAACGGGAAGCGAAACCGCGAGGUGGAGCCAAUCCUAUCAAAGUCGGUCUCAGUUCGGAUUGCAGGCUGCAACUCGCCUGCAUGAAGUCGGAAUUGCUAGUAAUCGCGGAUCAGCAUGCCGCGGUGAAUACGUUCCCGGGCCUUGUACACACCGGUACUA